GGGAAUGUGGCUUAGUGGUAGAGCAAGUGCCUAGCAUGCAUGAAGCCCUGGGUUCAAUUCCUCAGUGCCA
RNAcentral lists this transfer RNA (70 nucleotides) under Dipodomys ordii (Ord's kangaroo rat). It matches the Rfam family "tRNA". From Rfam's summary of the family: Transfer RNA (tRNA) molecules are approximately 80 nucleotides in length. Their secondary structure includes four short double-helical elements and three loops (D, anti-codon, and T loops). Lineage: Eukaryota; Metazoa; Chordata; Mammalia; Rodentia; Heteromyidae. The record is from Rfam by way of RNAcentral.